Mastomys coucha (southern multimammate mouse) is the source of this 764-nucleotide long non-coding RNA. RefSeq lists it as uncharacterized. The record is from RefSeq and is a predicted model, not a curated record. Lineage: Eukaryota; Metazoa; Chordata; Mammalia; Rodentia; Muridae. The transcript is spliced from 3 exons.
GCCACAUGUUCACACUGACUUAUCUAAAAUCCAUGCACUUUAACGCUUUGGCCGGCUCUCCUGAGGAUCACACAUGCUUCAUUCAUAGGCUGAAUGCUCCAUAUGUGUCUUACGGGAGUUCAAUGUUAUCAUGAAUUCCAGUGCCACCAGCAAGAGCACAAAGACUCGGGUCCAUAUCAUCACCACUCUCAGGAGGCUGAGGAGUUCUGCAGAGACUUCACUCAGGCAAGAAGCAACUUAAAGGAGAAGGAUUUAUUUGAUUCACAGUUUAAAUGGCAACAACUCAUCACGGAUGAGAAGGCAUGGUGGCAAUGGGCUCUACAGUGGCAGACUGCAGUCAAUGUUCUUCAUGUCUUCAUAUUUUGAUAAAAUAGAUAUCAGAGAAUAGACAGAAAACUGGCUGAGCUGUUAAGCUUCAAGACCUACCCAUCAUGACCUACUUCCUCUAGUAUGGCUCCACCCACUUCCUGUGGGCCCCACAAUCUUACAAAACAGCACCACCAAUUGAGGACUUAAACCACAUCUGUCUCCUUAUAUAUGUAUUGGUUCUGACUGCAUUUGUUUUCUAACAUUGUUCACAAUUCCAAAUGUAACCUUGCAAAAAGGAAACUUACCAUUGUAUUCACUUGUUUUAGCAAAAAUUCUAAAUAUUAUCAAAGACAAGGGAGUACCUUAGAAGUGCCUUUCACAAGACUUAAGAGAAGGUUGAAGUAAUAUCCAUCCAUCUUAGAGUGAGCCUCACUCCCAGGAUUUCCCUUUCUACC